RNAcentral lists this ribosomal RNA (440 nucleotides) under uncultured bacterium. RNAcentral's name for it is "partial 16S ribosomal RNA". It matches the Rfam family "Bacterial small subunit ribosomal RNA", at positions 338 to 795 of the family's 1533-position model. The record is from RNAcentral.
CCUACGGGAGGCAGCAGUAGGGAAUAUUGCUCAAUGGGGGAAACCCUGAAGCAGCAACGCCGCGUGGAGGAUGAAGGUUUUCGGAUUGUAAACUCCUUUUGUUAGAGAAGAUAUUGAGGGUAUCUAACGAAUAAGCACCGGUUAACUCCGUGCCAGCAGCCGCUGUAAUACGGAGGGUGCAAGCGUUACUCGGAAUCACUGGGCGUAAAGCGCGCGUAGGCGGGAUAGCAAGUCAGAUGUGAAAUCCUAUGGCUUAACCAUAGAACUGCAUUUGAAACUGUUAUUCUAGAGUAGGGGAGAGGUAGGUGGAAUUCUUGGUGUAGGGGUAAAAUCCGUAGAGAUCAAGAGGAAUACUCAUUGCGAAGGCGACCUGCUAGAACAUAACUGACGCUGAUGCGCGAAAGCGUGGGGAGCGAACAGGAUUAGAUACCCGGGUAGUC